GGGUGUGGAAGCGCAGUAAUGCGUUAAGCUAACCAGUACUAAUUGCCCGUAAGGCUUGAUCCUAUAACC
This 69-nucleotide ribosomal RNA is filed under the name Cupriavidus sp. L7L. RNAcentral describes it as "partial 23S ribosomal RNA". Lineage: Bacteria; Pseudomonadati; Pseudomonadota; Betaproteobacteria; Burkholderiales; Burkholderiaceae. The record is from RNAcentral.